This is a small nuclear RNA of Callithrix jacchus (white-tufted-ear marmoset), 104 nucleotides long. NCBI's taxonomy places the organism in Eukaryota, Metazoa, Chordata, Mammalia, Primates, Cebidae. The record is from Ensembl.
CUGCUCGCUUCAGCAUCACAUAUACUAAAAUUGGAACAAUAUAGAGAUUAGCAUGGCCCCUGUGCAAAGAUGACAUGCAAAUUCCUGAAGCAUUUCAUAUUUUA